UUUCAGGAAAAGCUGCUUGCCAUUUUGGUGUCUGCCUUGGAAUAGCUUUUCUGCUUUGGAUGAGAAUGUUCAAUUAAGGAAAUGUCAACCCUUUUUGAAGAGAAAAAUACAUUAUUCCAGGGCAUUCAUUAUUAUUCACACAUUGACAUUGAGAGAUUUUUGUAAGAGAGAAAACAGAGUUUUUCUUCUUUAACAUUCUGCUUUGUAACAAUGAUGAUGAGGAGCUAAACUCCGUUUUGUCAAGAUUGGAGGUAGUAGCUAUUCUCAUUUGUUUAUGUAUUCCAUUUGACUUUUAUAUAUGAUAAAG
This 307-nucleotide long non-coding RNA is filed under the name Lathyrus oleraceus (garden pea). Its description in RNAcentral is "Pisum sativum (pea) long non-coding RNA (PSAT_LNC015703)". The record is from RNAcentral. Lineage: Eukaryota; Viridiplantae; Streptophyta; Magnoliopsida; Fabales; Fabaceae.